Syngnathoides biaculeatus (alligator pipefish) is the source of this 4001-nucleotide RNA transcript. It is a transcript of the gene named sorting nexin-19-like, with no coding region annotated. NCBI's taxonomy places the organism in Eukaryota, Metazoa, Chordata, Actinopteri, Syngnathiformes, Syngnathidae. The transcript is spliced from 19 exons. The record is from RefSeq and is a predicted model, not a curated record.
GCCACGACGGGCGUUUACCCGCCCUUGCCAAUGACGUCUCACAACAGGAAGUAAACCGCUCACAAGAUACCGCGUUGAUGGAAAGCUUGAAAUGGCUUCGACGUUAUUGUUGCUAUAUUUUAACAAUGGUCUGAUGCAUGUGGGACAAGCAUAGCUCAGUGUCAUGGCAGAGAUGCCGGGACAGAGGUGUUUAUUGGGCCUUGGUGUACUGUUGAGUUGGCUUGUUCUUUUCCAUCUGCUUGUUAAUAUCUGGCUGCUGUGUGUGUUCACCAGCCUGCUGGUAGUACUGGGUGGCUGGCUGGGCUCACAGGCCAUCUUAGAAUCCAACAGUGUGAUUCACCUGGAAAGGUUUAUUACUCUGGAACAGAUUCCAUCCUCUGUGAACGAUGAGCAUUAUUUGGACCAAGAAAUCCACAAUUCAGUGAGGAAGAUUAUUAGGGACUUUGUUUCCUCAUGGUACUCAACUGUGUCGUCAGAGACUGGCUUUGAAAAGGAGAUUCACGAGGCCAUGAUUUCCAUGGGCAUGGAGCUGAAGAUGCGUGCAAAGCAUUUAGACAGAAAAAAACUAACCCAGAGGAUCUUGGAAAUGUUUGGCUGCCAUCUGCAGGACUACCUUCGAGCCAAGGAGCUGGUUGCGCAGAAGCAGGUGUCUCCAACUACAAAAGUAUUUGGUGAGAUGGAAAAGUUGUGGCAGGCAUAUUCCAGAGUUACCACACCUCACUGUGUGAUGACCAGUGAGGCAGUGGAAGUCAAUUACACAAGAGCACUGGUGGAUUUAUUGUUGCAUGUUUUGGUGCCCCCGCCUCAUUUGGAAACAUGCACUGGACGAUUUGUUGUUGGAGAACUCAUCACCUGCAAUGUCUUCCUCCCUCUUUUUUAUAAAAUGUCUGACCCUGACUGGUUAAAUCUUUUCAUGUUAGACAUUUUUGGUAGUUCUAAUGAACCAAAGGCAAUGGCAGUAGAAGAUAAUCCAGGUUUGUCAUUACCACUUCUCCAUGCCGAAUUAGCGGUCACUCGACCACAAGAGACCACAUUCCCUCACCAAAACAAUGGUGAGGUCCCUCAUCCAAAAUUUCAAUCACAAAUGGAAAACUAUUUGGAGACGGCCAUGCCUGAACUCUCUUUGUAUGAUAUGGCAGACUCAGACAAGUUUUGCUGUCAACAGAAUAACAUCGAAGAAGAGACAAGCCAGACCUUAAGAAAUUCUGCGAGUGGAAUGAACUUAAAUCCAUUUUAUCAAGAAAAUUAUUCUGACCUGGACUCUUCAUUAGCUAACUACAAACGGAGUUCCAGUGAUUCCUUGGCCAUGUUAGGAAAAGAGGACAGUUUAUAUGACCAACAAAGAGAAUGUGGACUUGAGUGCAGUAGUGACUUGGAGAGUCUUUGUUCCAAUCAAUUAGAUGGAUUCUGUCCUAGACCUUUGGUAAUUGCAGACACAUCGGACCAUCCAAAUGCCUCAUUGGAAAGAACAACACAGAACACUCCCAUCAGGAGCCUUCAGAGCAUAGAGAGUGACGGUAGCUCCUCUUCAGCAGGGAACACCAAUGAGCUGACUGUCAUGAGCCCAUUGCAUGGUUCUUCACCCUUGCCUUCUUUUAGUUUUGAGCCUCUAAGUAGCCCUGAUGGACCAAUUAUUAUCCAAAAUCUUCGCAUCACUGGGACGAUCACAGCUAAGGAGCACCGUGGCACUGGCUCACACCCUUAUACUCUUUACACCAUAAAGUAUGAGACAGCGAUGGGAUGUGAAAACCCUGGGCGCAUCCAUCCAUGCUCAGAAGAUGGAGACACAUUGCUCUCAGGUUUUGAAAGUCCAUCAUCCAUUCACCCAGUGGCGUAUCAUAUGGUGAACAGACGAUACAGUGAAUUUCUUAACCUACAAGCACGCGUGGAAGAGAGAACAGAGCUAAAAAAGCUCAUCAAAGGUGUUAAAGGUCCGAGGAAAAUAUUCCCAGAUAUGCCCUUUGGAAACAUGGACAGCGACAAGAUAGAGGCCAGGAAAGGAAUGCUGGAGACCUUUCUGAAGCAUCUUUGUGCUAUUCCUGAAAUAGCCAACAGUGAACAGAUGCAGGAAUUUCUGGCUCUGAAUACGGAUGCACGAAUUGCAUUUGUUAAGAAACCUUUUAUUGUUUCACGCAUUGACAAGAUUGUGGUGAAUGCAAUAGUGGAUACUCUCAAGACAGCAUUUCCUCGUUCUGAGCCUCAGAGCCCAACUGAGGAAAAUGACGGCGAAAUGGAGGGGGAGAAGCUUGUUAAUGAAAAAAAGAGCAACCUACAUAAUAUUUGUUCACUCGUCAUUAAGCAAGAGGAUUUUCUUCUCCACUUCUCCAGGUCACGUCUAAAAUUCUCUAGCAAAAGUACCCCAUUUAUAAAUGGCUCAGAUAUGAGACCACCGGUCUUGUUCAGCUUGGAACAAACUCAUACAGUGUUUAAUGGAAUCUCUUUGGAAGAUCUGCAAAAUUUUAUUCAUAAACAAGAGAAUCUGUCUAUCACGUCUAUGCCAAAUUCCAGUGAUCUUCUAAUUCUUACAAAAUAUUGCCAGCACGACCCUACCAUCGGAAAGCAAAGUCAAAGUCACGGUGGAGCUGAGAUGGCAUUGGCUGACGUGGCUUUGAACAUUAUGUGUCUGCUCAUGAGAGAGCAGUGGAGCUGGCUGUGCACUGAGAACAUUCAAAGGACCAUUCGGCUUCUGUUUGGGACCCUUAUUAACAGAUGGCUGGAUGUGAGUGUGGCCAAUCUGACAUGUACCAGAUAUUGGGUCCAUUACCUUCAGGUAAUCCAAGAGUCUGUAUGGCCAGGAGGAGUUCUGCCGACUUCCACUCAAACAGAACGAAGUCAGCAGCAGAAGGAUAACACCAAAAAACAAGCCUUGUAUUGUCUCAUGAAUCUUCUUCCAGAUUUAAUUACGGAUUUACUCAGCUCUGACAAAUACAAACUCAGUUGGCAGACUGUUCUUGAUUCCUUCCAAAACCCCUACAUUAACAGUCUGGGUGAGAUAUACAGUCAUGUUGCAGCCCUCUUGUUCAAGGUUGAUGCAGCUGUCCGUGCUGGUCUUACAUCAACAGCAUGCACAAGUGAAGCUUGCAAGUGAAAUGCAUCAUACAGAAAAGAGCUCAAUUCAAUACCAAUCAGUGACGUUGAUAUCGUGGGAAGUCGAAAGACUAACAUUUCAAUGACAUCAGCAAAAGGGAAAGCUCCACUAUCAGACAGGAAUACCCUCCAACCACUACGAGAUGUUUGCCCAAAUUCAGUUUUCCUCAAAAGCAUUCCUUCACUGGAUGAGGAAGAAACAGACACAGCAAAGGAAGAAGAACUUACCCAUUUUAUCAUUAAUGCAAAGCUACCUUGGGAAAUCCUCCGAAGAAAAGAUAUUUUCUUCUUGAGAGUGCUAACACGAGUGGUUAUGGUACCCGCCCAACUUCCUAGAAUAAGACUGAUAUAAUAAAAGUGACCACUCCAAAAACCUCCUGAAGUGGAGGAUUCGGAAAGUGAUGCCAGUCCUGUAAUUGUCCUGCAAGACCAUCAAAUGGAACAAGUGGUUCACCGUCACCAUGAAGAACCCCAAGACAUUCAAAACCAUCAACCUCAAGCCUUCUAUAGAACAAUUUCUUUAGAACAGUCCUAUAGAACUCGGGUCCGAAAGUUCUAUAGCAUUUCUACAUCCUAUAGAAUUUUGAUAUAACUUGGGUCAUAAAACUAUCACCUUUCUAUAGAAAUUUUCUAUAGAAUUUCUAUAGAAUGUUUCUAUGGAAAUUCUUUAGAAAUGUGAGAAAAUUUUUAGCAGGCAUGCUGGAGCCUAUCCCAGCUAUCUUCGGGCACAGGUGGGGAUACAUUCUGAACUGGUCGGCAGACAAUUUUAGGACACAAUUCUUAUUCACGUUCAUAGCUACAGCCAACUUCGUAUAACCUCCCCAUUCAAGGUAGGUUUUUUUGGAUGCGGGAGGAAACCAGAGUACUUGGAAAAAAGAACAUGCGAACUUGACACAUGGAACUUGAACCCCGGU